This 1066-nucleotide long non-coding RNA is filed under the name Mytilus galloprovincialis (Mediterranean mussel). The record is from RNAcentral. Lineage: Eukaryota; Metazoa; Mollusca; Bivalvia; Mytilida; Mytilidae.
CCCCUAAUAUUUUUUAUGAUGUGGACUGGUCAUUGUUAUUAAUUCGUACGCAAUUUGAUUGGAUUAACUUGUAAUUAGUUUACCUUCAAACUUGUUUAUGCUUUUCAUACAUGACUAUUGAUAAUAAAAACGUGCAUGUAUGUGUACGGUAACUAAAAUGACCUUCAAACUGGACACUGGACGAGUCAAUAUUAUGUUUUAUCAAUGAAAGUUAAGGUAUGAAAGGUAAGAAUUGCCACUUCUUCUAUUUUCACAAAAUUUUCCGACUACACAGUUGAUAGAUUAUUUUUUUAAAGCCUAUUGUGGAGAUAAAAGAGAAAGUUUACAAAUAAGACGUUUUGUUCCAUUAAACAAGUCAUUUUCUUAAGAGAAAUGCCGAAAUACAUUUUACGCACAGCUACGGCAGGUAAAGUUAUUAGUUAUCAUAACAAAAAAAGCAUUAUUCAGUCUCAUUGGAAUAUGUUAAUUACAAUAACUCCCAAACUUAAGUAGUAGGUAUAUGAAGUCAAAAUAUGUCCGAUCUGCCUAUUUUUGGACAUCAAAAGUCAAUACGAUCGUUUUAAAGUCAAUUUCGUCUACCUCACAAAAUCUUGUUAGGCACUAUAAUAGAAAACAAUCGCGUUUAUAUUGAAAUGAAAAGUUACAUUAAGUAUAAAGUAGUUAGUGUAUUUCAUACACAAAACAUUCCCAUGCGAUAAAUUCAAUGAACAAGUCAUUUUCCUUAAAGCAAGUUAUUUUACGUCUAGUACAGUAACUAGAGUAUACAAGUGUGUAAUACGAUGACUAAUACAGGUGACCAUUUAAAAGCUUCAUUUCAUUUAUUUACAUCUUAAUUCACAUUUACAUCCAAAAGUAAGCAGUGAAUAGAGAAAAUGAGAUGCUAUCGACAAUAAAAAAAAAAGACUUGAAACUACACGUCUACAAAAAGAAAAAAAAGUAUUUUUACCCCCUCCCCCCUUUUUAUGGUUAAGGUAGGAAAGGGGAGGCUCAUGUUCACCUAGUUCUGGCACCUUUAUAAUUAUUUAAAACUGUUAUUUUUUAUGGUGUAAACAUUUUUUCUACGAGA